UACGAAGGGUGCAAGCGUUACUCGGAAUUACUGGGCGUAAAGCGUGCGCAGGCGGUUAUGCAAGACAGAUGUGAAAUCCCCGGGCUCAACCUGGGAACUGCAUUUGUGACUGCAUGGCUGGAGUGCGGCAGAGGGGGAUGGAAUUCCGCGUGUAGCAGUGAAAUGCGUAGAUAUGCGGAGGAACACUGAUGGCGAAGGCAAUCCCCUGGGCCUGCACUGACGCUCAUGCACGAAAGCGUGGGGAGCAAACAGG
This 253-nucleotide ribosomal RNA is filed under the name uncultured bacterium. RNAcentral's name for it is "partial 16S ribosomal RNA". It matches the Rfam family "Bacterial small subunit ribosomal RNA", at positions 524 to 776 of the family's 1533-position model. The record is from RNAcentral.